AUACGGAGGAUGCGAGCGUUAUCCGGAUUUAUUGGGUUUAAAGGGAGCGUAGGUGGGAUAUUAAGUCAGCUGUGAAAGUUUGGGGCUCAACCUUAAAAUUGCAGUUGAUACUGGUUUCCUUGAGUACGGUAUAGGUGGGCGGAAUUCGUGGUGUAGCGGUGAAAUGCUUAGAUAUCACGAAGAACUCCGAUCGCGAAGGCAGCUCACCGGGCCGGAACUGACACUGAUGCUCGAAAGUGCGGGUAUCAAACAGGAUUAGAUACCCUGGUAGUCCGCACAGUAAACGAUGAAUACUCGCUGUUUGCGAUACACUGUAAGCGGCUAAGCGAAAGCGUUAAGUAUUCCACCUGGGGAGUACGCCGGCAACGGUGAAACUCAAAGGAAUUGACGGGG
Molecule: ribosomal RNA, 393 nt
Filed under: uncultured bacterium
Lineage: Bacteria
Description: partial 16S ribosomal RNA
Rfam family: Bacterial small subunit ribosomal RNA
Source: RNAcentral